ACGUUUACACUCCUGCGGGAGGCAGCAGUGGGGAAUUUUGGACAAUGGGCGAAAGCCUGAUCCAGCAAUGCCGCGUGUGUGAAGAAGGCCUUCGGGUUGUAAAGCACUUUUGUCCGGAAAGAAAUCCUUGGCUCUAAUACAGUCGGGGGAUGACGGUACCGGAAGAAUAAGCACCGGCUAACUACGUGCCAGCAGCCGCGGUAAUACGUAGGGUGCGAGCGUUAAUCGGAAUUACUGGGCGUAAAGCGUGCGCAGGCGGUUUGCUAAGACCGAUGUGAAAUCCCCGGGCUCAACCUGGGAACUGCAUUGGUGACUGGCAGGCUAGAGUAUGGCAGAGGGGGGUAGAAUUCCACGUGUAGCAGUGAAAUGCGUAGAGAUGUGGAGGAAUACCGAUGGCGAAGGCAGCCCCCUGGGCCAAUACUGACGCUCAUGCACGAAAGCGUGGGGAGCAAACAGGAUUAGAUACCCCUGUAGUCCC
RNAcentral lists this ribosomal RNA (478 nucleotides) under uncultured organism. RNAcentral's name for it is "partial 16S ribosomal RNA". It matches the Rfam family "Bacterial small subunit ribosomal RNA", at positions 326 to 797 of the family's 1533-position model. The record is from RNAcentral.